RNAcentral lists this ribosomal RNA (250 nucleotides) under uncultured bacterium. RNAcentral's name for it is "partial 16S ribosomal RNA". It matches the Rfam family "Bacterial small subunit ribosomal RNA", at positions 524 to 773 of the family's 1533-position model. The record is from RNAcentral.
UACGGAGGGUGCAAGCGUUGUUCGGAAUUAUUGGGCGUAAAGGGCGCGUAGGUGGUUGUGAUAGUCAGAUGUGAAAUCCUUCGGCUCAACCGAAGAACUGCAUCUGAAACUUCAUAGCUCGAGUACAGGAGAGGGAAACGGAAUUCCCGGUGUAGAGGUGAAAUUCGUAGAUAUCGGGAGGAACACCAGUGGCGAAGGCGGUUUCCUGGCCUGAUACUGACGCUGAGGCGCGAAAGCGUGGGGAGCAAAC